CCCUUAGAUGUUCUGGGCCGCACGCGCGCUACAUUGAUGCAUUCAACGAGUCUAAAACCUGCUCUGAUAGGGGUGGGUAAUCUUUUGAAUGUGCAUCGUGAUUGGGAUAGAUGAUUGCAAUUUUUCAUCUUCAACGAGGAAUGCCUAGUAAACGCAAGUCAUCAGCUUGCAUUGAUUACGUCCCUGCCCUUUGUACACACCGCCCGUCGCUCCUACCGAUUGAAUGAUCCGAUGAAUAUCAUGGAUUGAGGAUGCAAGCAGGUUCGCCUGUCUUCAUCUUCGAGAAGUGAAGUAAAUCUUAUCAUUUAGAGGAAGGAGAAGUCGUAACA
RNAcentral lists this ribosomal RNA (329 nucleotides) under uncultured eukaryote. RNAcentral describes it as "partial 18S ribosomal RNA". It matches the Rfam family "Eukaryotic small subunit ribosomal RNA", at positions 1470 to 1796 of the family's 1831-position model. The record is from RNAcentral.